UUGUUGACUCUGAAUAACAAUCAGAAUCACACGGUCAAACUGUCGAAGUCCCAAAACGAAAUGUGCACGAUUCACCCGAUCACCUUUAUUAGUCUACGAAGUGGAUCACCAUGGGGAGACAAUAAGGGUUCGACUCCGGAGAGGGAGCCUUAGAAACGGCCACCACAUCGCCUGAAAGAUGCAAGCCAGGAACUUAGCCCGUACCAAGAGCGAGACUUAUUCGGGGAAGAAAAAGACCGGUCCUCUGGAUUGGUUACUUCACUGAGUUGAGUGAUAAAAGCUCUUUGAAUAACAAGUGGUUGGCAAGUCAGGUGUCAACGGCCGCGGUGGUUCCAGCUCCCCUAGUGUACCCCGUUAUUGCUGCGGAUAAAAAACUCGUAGUUGUAUUUGAGUUCCUAGUUGAAUUUACGCUCUGCGUUCUACGUCGCCCUAGGCUACUUUGUUGGUUUUGCACUGUCGGAUUCGAACCCGUGGUGGCUAGCGUGGUCACUUAGUGUAACUCACAGUGUUCUUUACAAGCUUUUGCGUGAAUGGUCUAUCAAUUAAAAUAGACUAAGACUUCGGAUCUGGUUAUUGGAUUCUGAAUCAAUGUGAUGAUUCUUCGGAGUAACGGGGGGAUACAUAUUGAUGCUUGAGAGGUAAAUUCGUGGAC
Molecule: ribosomal RNA, 652 nt
Filed under: Metarhabditis blumi
Lineage: Eukaryota; Metazoa; Nematoda; Chromadorea; Rhabditida; Rhabditidae
Description: SSU rRNA
Rfam family: Eukaryotic small subunit ribosomal RNA
Source: RNAcentral